This 442-nucleotide ribosomal RNA is filed under the name uncultured bacterium. Its description in RNAcentral is "partial 16S ribosomal RNA". It matches the Rfam family "Bacterial small subunit ribosomal RNA", at positions 338 to 795 of the family's 1533-position model. The record is from RNAcentral.
CCUACGGGAGGCAGCAGUGGGGAAUAUUGGACAAUGGGGGGAACCCUGAUCCAGCGACGCCGCGUGAGUGAAGAAGUAUUUCGGUAUGUAAAGCUCUAUCAGCAGGGAAGAAAGACAUGACGGUCCCUGACUAAGAAGCCCCGGCUACCUACGUGCCAGCAGCCGCGGUAAUACGUAGGGGGUAAGCGUUAUCCGGAUUUCCUGGGUGUAAAGGGAGCGUAUGCGGUUACGCAAGUCUGAGGUAAAGGGCGGGGGCCCACCCCCCGGCCUGCUUUGGAAACGGUAUAACGGAGUGCAGGAGAGGUAAGUGGAAUUCCUAGUGUAGCGGUGAAAUGCGUAGAUAUUAGGAGGAACACCAGUGGCGAAGGCGGCUUACUGGACUGUAACUGACGUUGAGGCUCGAAAGCGUGGGGAGCAAACAGGAUUAGAUACCCGUGUAGUC